AGUCUCCAAUCGAUUAAUGCUACUGAAAGUAGCUGUAGAUAAUGUUACGUAUGUGAGAUGGUUAUGAGUAACUUCUUAUCUAGUGGUUAAAAUUUUAGUUUUGAAGAGAUUCACGAAGUCUUUACUAGUUACUAGUUAAGGUUAAAGGAAUACUUGGCCCAACUAUUUUUUUUUUUUUUUUUUUAUCAGCCUGGCUACAGUGCUGCAGAGAAACCUAGGGUUCUUUUUAUUUUCUUCAGUGCAAAUGUAUUUCCUUUUAUAGCCAUCCUUAUUUAGAGAAAUGGGCUGUGGUUGAUUUGAAAUGAGUCCUGUUCCCUAUCAUACGCAAAUCAUACAGUAAGAACAAAUUUGUCCUGUGUGUUCAUGUCAUAAAUCUGAUGGUGAUUUUGCAUAAAAACUCUUUGCGCAGUUCUUUUGUGUUGCACAUGUUACUAAAUGGGGGCCGUUGUCUUGAGCAUGUCCUUUGCAGAAUCUGCCACAAUUACUCCAGUUCACUACCUCAACACCAUCGACUAAAUAUGUAGGUGAAGCAGAAGAGGAAGGACAUCAAGACGUUCUCAAAGGGUUUUCUGGCGUUUAAGAUUUAGUCCUGAUGUAAACUAAAUUCCAGCUCAAUUGCCGAGAACCGCUGUGGUUAGGGCUGCUCAAUUAAUCGAAUUUUAAUCUAGACUACGAUCUGGGCUUUCAACGAUCAUUAAAAAUGACUGAGCCGAUUAUUAGCACCUCCCUCGUGCUUUACUCUCGCGCUGCUCCGUGUGGCAAAUCGAGCGCACCUCUCUGCGUUUCGACCACGCGUCACAAGAGGACCCGACUUCCUCACGCAUGCUUCUGUUCCUUAAUCUGUAGGUUGCAGGCACAUCAUGUUCUCACAAGAAAUUAUACUUAAGCAAAAUAAAAGUUAUCAAAAUUCAAAGAACCCAGAUCACCACCAGGCUGAAAAAAAGAAAAGUGUUGCUGCGAGGCAACCACCAUUCUGUUGCUUGCUUUUAGACGAGUAUUUAUUGUUCCGUCCAUUCAAAAAGAACAUGUCCUUGUGACAUCUCAGAUAUUGUUGUCAGGGAUAAGAUCAUUUUUGUGUCAAGAUGUUAAUUUUGGUCCGUAUCGCCUGAAACUAACCGGCUGUCCAGACAGACUGAAGAAUUGCUUGGCGAGUCCAGGAGCAUUGGGUGGAAAGUUGCUUCACAUUCCUCUGGAGUGCAGAGUGAAAGUGCUCUGAAGGCUGAGCUGGCAGCUGUGGUUCCUAGCACUUAGAGCGUCAUGCCCUCUGUCGGUCAGCUGUGCACAGCGUUAGACUCUGUUAUAACAGCUACUCUAUGUGCAUGUGUAUGAGCUCACAUGCUCAUAGAGCCUUUUUUCCCUUUUUGUUAAUGUUGGUGUACAAGUACAGUGACUUGUGUGGUGUACCAUCUUUUCGAUUUCUGGAUGUUCUGUGGACAACAUUUAACUGUCACGUCAUACAUGGAUUGUGAUUAUUAAUACCUCUGUACCUCACUGUAGUAAAAAGAAGCCUGAUUCUUCCCUGAGAAGUUGGGGUGGAAGUAGGUUGCAAAACAGAAUACAGAUGUUCAGUGACUGUUGGAAAGCUUAAGCGGCUUAAACUCUGUUUCCUGUAUGAAAUUUGCCAACUGGAUGUGUAGAAGGAUAUCAGCUGAUGUGGGCUGGGACAGACAUCAGCUGAUCUGCCAGGAUUGUGGUAGAGCCUGACUUAAUGGCUUGCCUGAACUGAUGCUACAUCUCUCUUUCUUUCUUUCUUUCUUUCUUCAUUUCACAGCAAAAUCAAAUAAAAAAAUGUAUCUAUG
Molecule: long non-coding RNA, 1799 nt
Organism: Oreochromis aureus
Lineage: Eukaryota; Metazoa; Chordata; Actinopteri; Cichliformes; Cichlidae
Exons: 2
Source: RefSeq, a predicted model, not a curated record